UGCCUAACACAUGCAAGUCGAACGGAUGCUUCGGGAUUAGAGGAGGACGGUGUGAGCAACACGCGGGAACCUGCCUUUUUGUUCGCAACAACUCAGGGAAACUUGACACUCAUACCGGAUAAGCCUUUCUAGGGAAAGAUUUUUCUCCCUUAUAGCGGACCGCGCUACGAUUAUCUGGCUGGUGGGGUAAAGGCCCACCAAGGCUACAAUCCUUAACUGGGCUGAGAGGAUGAGAAGCCUCAUUGGGACUGAGACACGGCCCACACUCCUAUGGGAGGCGGCAUAGGGGAAUCUUGCGCAGUGGGGGAAAGCCUGAGGCACCCAUGCCGCGUGAAUGAUAAGGGUCUUAGGAUUGUAAAAUUCUUUCACCGGGGACGAUAAUGACGGUACCCGGAGAAAAAACCCCGGCUAACUUCUUGCCCUCAGCCGCGGUAAUACGAAUGGGGCUAGCGUUGCUCGGAAUUACUGGGCGUAAAGGGAGCGUAGGCGGAUAGUUUAGUCAGAGGUGAAAGCCCAGGGCUCUCCCUUGGAAUUGCCUUUGAUACUGGCUAUCUUGAGUACGGAAGAGGUAUGUGGAACUCCGAGUGUAGAGGUGAAAUUCGUAGAUAUUCUCAAGAUCACCAGUGGCGAAGGCGACAUACUGGUCCGUUACUGACGCUGAGGCUCGAAAGCGUGUGGAGCAAACAGGAUUAGAUACCCUGGUAGGCCACGCUGUGAACGAUGAGUGCUAUGUGUCGGCAGGCAUGCCUGUCGGUGACG
Molecule: ribosomal RNA, 759 nt
Filed under: uncultured Caulobacter sp.
Lineage: Bacteria; Pseudomonadati; Pseudomonadota; Alphaproteobacteria; Caulobacterales; Caulobacteraceae
Description: bacterial SSU rRNA
Rfam family: Bacterial small subunit ribosomal RNA
Source: RNAcentral